UAAUAUUUGAAUUGGCGCAAGAAAAAGGUUAUUUAUUCGUGGCCAAAUUACAAGAUCACCAUCUAACAUGGGCUCUUCGAAUUGAAAUAACAUAUUGCGUUGUCGCCCAAAUUACACUCAACUUAAGUUUUUUAUGGAGGUCAACCAUGGCCAGAUGCUGAAUCUCUUUAGAUCUCUAACUACUAAAGACGGAACGAAGUAAUUGCUGAAGCAUUCAUGAUACCAAAUUACAAUAUAUGUAAAAGAAGAAACGAAGUACUAGGAAACUAAUCAUACAACAAGAAAACAAAAUGGCAAUUAAAUGACCCUUUCAAUUAAAUUACAACUAUAAUAACAAUACAAUUACAAAAUCCUACUCAUACAAUUUACCGCACUAAAUAAAUUGCUAUACAACUAUAAAAUUAAAAAUUAAUGUCACUUGGACUAAAUAGCGCAAACAACAGGGAUGUCCAAUGUUUGUUUCACUUAGUCACAACUCAAUUCAGGCUUGAAAUCCAUCCAGUGACGGAUUUGAUCAACUGGUAAUCACAUCCGACGACUGGCAUAACUUUGGCUUCCACGUGCUAACACCAAAUCAAAAUUACUUCAUUCACUUCAAGAGCCAAUACUAAAUGAGGAAAUAAUAUGCAUUUAGUCGUAUACUUAAUACUUAAGGAUUCUGUGUCACGGCUGAACUAGUGUUUCCAUAACAUUUUACAUCUUUAACUUUAAACGAAGGUAAUUAAAGCAUAAAACAUAACAGGGGGAAAUUGUCAUUAAUCAUGUGAAUCGGACUUGUACAUUUGAUACCCCACAAUGAACUACCAAGCUAACACUACUGCAGCAGUCCAUAUUCAGAACAAAUAGAAAGAAAUAUAAGAAAAUUAAGCUAAGCUAAACAGUUUCAAAAGUGCAGAAACAUUAAAUAAACAACUACAUUAAUACGAAUCUCUACUCAUGUACCAAUCGUCAUAUUCAUCCAUUUUCAUACAUUAGAAGGUGAGAUGAAUACCUGGCAAAAUGAAAUAAGAAAGGAGGAGAAGUUCAGCAAUAGGCAGUAGUAGGAACAAUAUUCAGCAAACAAAUCACCUAGAAAUAACGAAGGAAAACCAAUUUUACACCAGGUUUGAACCAGCAAUAGUAUCAAAUAAAGCUCAGAAUCAGAACAUAGCCAACACCUGAACCCAAACACUUGAAUACCAACAAAAAUUCAAGUCAUUUUAACCUUCAGUUAUUCUGAAAUUAUUUCAGAAGUGGAGGUCUCAAGGAUUUCAAAAUCUUCUAAUCGAACACUAAAAAAUUUUCGUUUUAGUUUUCUGAGUUUUUUUCUCUUCUCUCUCUGAAUUGAGCCUCAAGUAACCAUGCCUUUAUAGGCAAGUUACUAGGGCAGCAAAUAUCAGCCAAGUUUUUGCACUUUUGAUCCCACUUAAUUUUUUUUUUGCUAGUUAGCCACUCGUUUUUUGACUCGCUAGCCAAGUAAGUAUUCUUUUCAGCUUCUAGGAAGCUUCUUAGGUAGUUACUGCAAGAUUCCUUUAGCUAAUCUACCCAAAGUGCCCCUUAGCUACACUAAAAUUGCCCCUUAGUCUCAAAUGGGCCGGGGGUAAACCGACCCAAUGGUUACAAAGACCUGGGCUCAGACUAAAACAAAAUUUUCCAAGCAAAAAGCUUGGAACUGUUUCUUAAAACAACAGUAACAAAAGGCAAGAUUAAAGAGUUAAACUCCGAUGAAAGUAAAUUUAUUAAGGACCCAACUUCACUUAGAUAAGCAAUUAACUGAUAAGGAAAAAUUUAAGCUUAUUAAAUAGAACAAUUAAAACAACCAAAGAAGCAGAUUAAAGAAACCUCAAUUAACAGAGGAACAGAAGAAGGACCUAGUGGGUUGCGUAUCAAUUUAUAUACAUUUCAACAAUAUCAAAUCGUUAAAUAGCAAUAUUUAGCACAUUAGGCACAAGCAUGUAAAUAAAACCAGAUAAUAAAUAAAACCAAAUAUAAUAAUUAUUCUAAGCUCAAAUUCUGAAUCCUGAACCGGAGAUUCUGGAAUCGAUCCCUAGUAGAGUCACCAGAGUUGUCACACCUCCUUUUGUCACUAUACCCCCGGAAGGGUGUAUUAAGGGAGUUUUUCCACUUUAAGUGACAAUCGAAACAUGAUUAUUUAUUAAAAACUCAAAGUCGCCACAUGGGAUAAUUUAUGGUAUCCCAAGUCACCAGUUUAAAUCCCAAAUCGAGGAAAAGGUUGACUCUGAAUUACAGUCCACGAACCAGAAAUCCGGGUAAGGAAUUCUGUUACCCGGGAGAAGGUGUUAGGCAUUCCCGAGUUUCGUGGUUCUAGCACGGUCGCUCAACUGUUACAAUUGGCAUAAUUAUCAUAUUUAAAAAUAUUUUGUACCUAUGUGCAGUUUUUAACUUUUAGUUGUUUUUAUUCAUUCUUAAAGAAGAUUUGACGUCGUCUAAAAUAUACCUUUGGAUCGCGCCACAUGAAAUGCACCCGCAAUCCGAAACACAUUUUAUUCGAAGUUAUCAAGAUUUGGAUUUGGGUCGCAUGAAAUGCGCACUCGAGUUUAGGAAGAUAAUUUUAAUUACGCGCCUAAAGAAAUUACGCAUUUUCAAGUUUGUGAGGACCAUGGAAAAUUCAACUAAUGGCACACCUCGGUUCUAAUUUCAAAGGAUUGUACUCAAAUAAAGCAAACUACGAAUGUUUAAAAUUAUUUAAACUAUUUGGGAUGAUUGUAAAAGGGAAAUGAUUAUGGAAAUUAGAUGUUGUGGAGCAAAUGUACGAUUCAACGGUUAAAAUCUAAAGAUGAUCAUAAUUAAUUGCCUAAUAUUUGAAUUGGCGCAAGAAAAAGGUUACUUAUUCGUGGCCAAAUUACAAGAUGAACAUGGGCUCUUCCAAUUGAAAUAAUAUAUUGGGUUGUGGCCCCAAAAUUACACUCAACUUUAGUCUUUUAUGGAGGUUAACCAUGGCCAAAUAUUGAUCUCUUUAGAUCUCUAACUACUGAAGAUGGAACGAAAUAAUUGUUGAGGCAUUCAUGAUACAAAAUUGCAAUAUAGGUAAAAAGAGAAAUCAAGUGCUCGGAAACUAAUCAUACAACAAGAAAACAAAAAUGGCAAUUAAAUGGACUUUUCAAUUAAAUUACAACUAUAAUAACAAUACAAUUACAUAAUCCUACUCAUACAAUUAAUCGCACAAAAUGAAUUGCUAUACAACUACAAAAUUAACAAUUAAUGUCACCUGGACUAAAUAGCGCAAACAACAAGAAUGUCCAAUGUUUGUUUCACUUAGUCACAACUCAAUUCAGGCUUGAAAUCCAUCCAGUGACGGAUUUGAUCAACUGGUAAUCACAUCCGACGACUGGCAUAACUUUGGCUUCCACGUGCUAACACCAAAUCAAAAUUACUUCAUUCACUUCAAGAGCCAAUACUAAAUGAGGAAAUAAUAUGCAUUUAGUCGUAUACUUAAUACUUAAGGAUUCUGUGUCACGGCUGAACUAGUGUUUCCAUAACAUUUUACAUCUUUAACUUUAAACGAAGGUAAUUAAAGCAUAAAACAUAACAAGGGCAAAUUGUCCUUAAUCAUGUGAAUCAUACUUGCAUAUUUGAUACCCAACAAUGAACUACCAAGCUAACACUACUACAGCAGUCCAUAUUCAGAACAAACAAAAAGAAAUAUAUAAAAAUUAAGCUAAGCUAAAAAGUUUCGAAAGUGCAGAAACAGGAAUAAACAACUGCAUUAGUACGAAUCUCUAGUCAAGUGAACUAAUCUUCAUAUUCAUUCAUUUCCAUACAUUGGAAGGUGAGAUGAAUAUCUGGCAGAAUAAAAUAAGAAAGGAGGAGAAGUUCAGCAAUAGGCAGUAGCAAGAACAAUAUUCAGCAACCAAAUCACCUAGAAAUAACCGGAAAACCAAUUUUACACCAGGUUUGAACCAACAAUAGUAUCAAAUAAAGCUCAGAAUCAUAACACGGCCAACACCUGAACCCAAACACUUGAAUACCAACAAAAAUUCAAGUCUUUUUAACCAUCAGUUAUUCAGUAAUUAUUUCAGAAGUGGAGGUCUCAAGGAUUUCAAAAUCGUCUAAAGGAAUAGUUAAAUUUUUUUGUUUUAGAUUUUUGAGUUUUUUUUUCUCUUCUCUCUCUGAAUUGAGCCACAAGUAACCAUGCCUUUAUAUGCAAGUUACUAAGGCAAGAAAUAUUCAGCCAAGUUUUUGCACUUUUGAUCCCUUUUAAUUUUCCUUUUGUUAGUUAGCCCCUCAUUUUUGACUUGCUAGCCAAGUAAGUAUACUUUUCAACUUUCAGGAAGCUUCUUAGGUAGUUACUGCAAGAUUCCUUUACAUAAUCUACCAAAAAUGCCCCUUAGCUACCCUGAAAUUAUCCCUUAGCCUCAAAUGGUUUAGGGGUUAACCGACCCAAUGGUUACACAGAUUUGGGGUCAGACUAAAAUAAAAUUUUCCAAGCAAAGAGCCUGGAACUGUGUCUUAAAACAACAGCAACAAAAGGCAAGAUUAAAGAGUUAACCUCCGAUGACAGUAAAUUUAUUAAGGAUCUAACUUCACUUAGCUAAGCAAUUAACUGGUAAAGAAAUAUUUAAACUUUUAAACACAACAAUUAAAACAAUAAAACAAGCAGAUUAAAGAAACCUCAAUUAAUAUAGGAACAGAAGAAGGACCUAGUUCGAACCCAAAACCCCACACGAAUUUUUGAUUAAACCAAUUGAAAGAAAAUCAUAAGGGGCGAAAAAGAACUUACCAAAUCCUUCUCAAACCAAACGGAAAUGGAAAACUCGACCAAGCUGAUAUUGACCCUGUUGUUCUUUGUCAAGAACAAUUGAAUCGACAUCAAUCUUGCCAAGUCAGGAUCACCAACUUUGCAAGAACUUAUUGCAUGCUACCGGGCUCUAAGGGAAAUGAUUUUGGGCUUUUGAGUUGGACUUCGAAUUAUAAUAUUCGACGAGUUCUAUGUCGAUUCAAAGGAUAUGGGUAGAGAUUUGGAAUAAGGAGGACCUGGUGGUCAUCUAGUGUUAUUUUGGGGUCGACCAGAGGCGGCAGUGCCACCAGAGAAAUUGUGGAGGUGCUAGGGUUCAUAACUUCAAGCCAAGAUUCAAGGAGUUUGGGUAAGUUUUGAGGGGAGCUAGUUGUGGAUUCAAAAUGAGGAGGCAAAGGAGGGAUUGUGGUGUAAUUUCGGUGGUCAUUGAACGUCGGCCGCCGCCAUAGGCGAUUUUCGGCGGGCGGCAGGAGGUUGCUCAGGGCGGUGAUAAUGAAGGGGUCUCUGAGAGACGGAAGGGAUGAGGUGGAGGAGGUUAUGAGGGGGGUAGGUGUUCAGACAUAUAUAUGCUUAGGAGUCCUUAGCUUCAGGACCGUUAGAUCUCCAAAACCUCAACGGCCA
This 5356-nucleotide long non-coding RNA is filed under the name Nicotiana benthamiana. RNAcentral's name for it is "long non-coding RNA (NBEN_LNC004977)". The record is from RNAcentral. Lineage: Eukaryota; Viridiplantae; Streptophyta; Magnoliopsida; Solanales; Solanaceae.